Molecule: ribosomal RNA, 253 nt
Filed under: uncultured bacterium
Lineage: Bacteria
Description: partial 16S ribosomal RNA
Rfam family: Bacterial small subunit ribosomal RNA
Source: RNAcentral
UACAGAGGGUGCAAGCGUUGUUCGGAAUUAUUGGGCGUAAAGCGCGUGUAGGCGGCUUUGCAAGUCAGACGUGAAAUCCCUCGGCUUAACCGGGGAACUGCAUCUGAUACUGGAUGGCUUGAGUUCGGGAGAGGGAUGCGGAAUUCCAGGUGUAGCGGUGAAAUGCGUAGAUAUCUGGAGGAACACCGGUGGCGAAGGCGGCAUCCUGGACCGACACUGACGCUGAGGAGCGAAAGCCAGGGGAGCAAACGGG